AUAUCUAUUAUAAAGCUAAAAUUUUAUUGACACUAACAGAAUAGUGUAUUUCAAAGUUGUUUAUGUAAAAUUACUUAAAACUUUUCUAAAUAAGUGAUAUUUAAACACAUAUUUUUAUAUAUUUAAAUUUGUCUAUAUAAUAGUGGGUACAAUCUUUCUAUUUAGUAAUUUAUGCUCAUUUCUAAAUAACAUAAUUUUAUAAUAGAAUAAAAGUUUAUUUGGGACCAGGAUUAGAUACCCUGUUACUAAACUUAAAAUUUCUAAUUUAAUUAUUAAAUUAUUUUGAUAAAUAAAAUAUACUUUAUAUAUAAAAUAUAUGAGAGUUUAUAAAAUAAUUGAAUAAAAUUAUUUGAGUAGUAAAAGUCUAGCUUCAAACUCAAAGAAAAUUGGCGGUGCUUUAAAUUUUCAGGGGAACUUGUUAAUUAAUUUGAUAAUCCACAAUAUACCUUACCACCAUUUGAAUUAAAAAUAAAUAUUGUUUAUCUAAUAAUUUUCAGUCUAUGUACGGCUGUCUAGAUUCUCUUUAAGAGGAAAUCUUAUCUACUUUAAGUUUUUAUAAAAUAGACGACUUAUUAAAUAUAAAAUAUAUAAAAAUAAGAUUAUUUAUUAUUUCCUAAUAAUUUAUUUUGUAAAAUUAAUAUUAUAAAAAUUUAAGUAUAAUGUCAAGUAUAUGUGUAGCUAAUAUGGUGGGUUAAAAUGAGUUACAAUUUAAUUUAAUCUAAUUUUUGGAUUUAGUAUAUUUUAAAUAAAUACUAUUAAAUAAGAUAUUACUUCCAAAUAUUACUAUAAUUAUUUAGGAUAAUAUAAGUUAUGAAAUUUCAUAAUUUAAAUUGAAUAUAUUAUUUAUUCCUUGAAUGAAACAUUUUUUAUAGUAGGACUUGAAUGUAAGAAUGCUAUAUAUAUUUUAUUUUUUACUCAAACCUUAUAUAUUAUAAUUUAUUAUAACUAAAUAAUUUGCCUUUUAAAUCAUUAUUAUUUUAAAAUGAGUCAUGAUAAUUUAAAAUUUAGUAGAUAAAGCAUCUGAAUGUAUCUUAAAGUGUGUACAUAUCGCCCGUCGCUCUUCCUGUGAAAACUAAUGCUGAUUAGGGAAGAUUAAUUAUGUUAAUUUCUUUCUUUUUCACGCUUACUAAUUCUGUGUUAAUAAUUAUUUAGUAAGCUC
RNAcentral lists this ribosomal RNA (1159 nucleotides) under Caledoniella montrouzieri. RNAcentral describes it as "partial 12S rRNA". Lineage: Eukaryota; Metazoa; Mollusca; Gastropoda; Littorinimorpha; Vanikoridae. The record is from RNAcentral.